Molecule: ribosomal RNA, 506 nt
Filed under: uncultured bacterium
Lineage: Bacteria
Description: partial 16S ribosomal RNA
Rfam family: Bacterial small subunit ribosomal RNA
Source: RNAcentral
AGUGAACGCUGGCGGUAGGCCUAACACAUGCAAGUCGAACGGCAGCACAGAGGAGCUUGCUCCUUGGGUGGCGAGUGGCGGACGGGUGAGGAAUACAUCGGAAUCUACUCUGUCGUGGGGGAUAACGUAGGGAAACUUACGCUAAUACCGCAUACGACCUACGGGUGAAAGCAGGGGAUCUUCGGACCUUGCGCGAUUGAAUGAGCCGAUGUCGGAUUAGCUAGUUGGCGGGGUAAAGGCCCACCAAGGCAACGAUCCGUAGCUGGUCUGAGAGGAUGAUCAGCCAAACUGGAACUGAGACACGGUCCAGACUCCUACGGGAGGCAGCAGUGGGGAAUAUUGGACAAUGGGCGCAAGCCUGAUCCAGCCAUACCGCGUGGGUGAAGAAGGCCUUCGGGUUGUAAAGCCCUUUUGUUGGGAGAGAAAUCCAGCUGGCUAAUACCCGGUUGGGAUGACGGUACCCAAAGAAUAAGCACCGGCUAACUUCGUGCCAGCCGCCGCCGUAA